UACGAAGGGGGCUAGCGUUGUUCGGAAUUACUGGGCGUAAAGCGUGCGCAGGCGGCUUCUCAAGUCAGGGGGUGAAAGCCCAGAGCUCAACUCUGGAAUUGCCUUUGAGACUGAGUGGCUUGAGUACGAGAGAGGUGAGUGGAAUUCCCAGUGUAGAGGUGAAAUUCGUAGAUAUUGGGAAGAACACCGGUGGCGAAGGCGGCUCACUGGUCCGGUACUGACGCUGAGGUGCGAAAGCGUGGGGGAGCAAACAGGG
RNAcentral lists this ribosomal RNA (256 nucleotides) under uncultured bacterium. Its description in RNAcentral is "partial 16S ribosomal RNA". It matches the Rfam family "Bacterial small subunit ribosomal RNA", at positions 524 to 777 of the family's 1533-position model. The record is from RNAcentral.